Long non-coding RNA from Eucalyptus grandis, 515 nucleotides. RefSeq lists it as uncharacterized. The transcript has 2 exons. NCBI's taxonomy places the organism in Eukaryota, Viridiplantae, Streptophyta, Magnoliopsida, Myrtales, Myrtaceae. The record is from RefSeq and is a predicted model, not a curated record.
CUUAACAGGGUCCAAGGUACAUCGACACACGGGUCUUGAGAUUUCUUGAGUCUUUCGAAAGUAAACUCCUUAAGAUGAGUGAGGUUGAUUUCAAGGUCGCAGCAUUAAGGAAGCUGGCAAAACAAGAAUUGAUAGCUUUCUUCAACAAGCACAUACGAAUUGGAGCGCCCAAGAGGAAGGUGCUUAGUGUACGAGUUUAUGGGAGCAAGCAUUCAUCAAAUUUUGAAGUGGAUAACAAUAAAGCAGUUGGACCAAACACAGUACGAAUAGAUGACAUUUUUAGCUUCAGGGCAUCGCAACCUCUUUACGGUUCACAUUGAAGAGGGUAUGAACAUAUGGAAGUUCACAGCAAAUUCUAAAUAAGCUACAAUUGAGGAUCUUGGAUAAUGUACUCCUGAAACAUUUCUCCAAAAUCUAUACUACCACGCCACACUUGCCCUGUGGCAUUUGUACCUUAUAGCGUUUUAGUGUUUGGUGUGUGUAAAUGACUAAAGGUAUUACUUGGGAUUUUACUA